Molecule: ribosomal RNA, 1661 nt
Filed under: Campylobacter coli
Lineage: Bacteria; Pseudomonadati; Campylobacterota; Epsilonproteobacteria; Campylobacterales; Campylobacteraceae
Description: partial 23S ribosomal RNA
Rfam family: Bacterial large subunit ribosomal RNA
Source: RNAcentral
AGGUAAGCUACUAAGAGCGAAUGGUGGAUGCCUUGACUGGUAAAGGCGAUGAAGGACGUACUAGACUGCGAUAAGCUACGGGGAGCUGUCAAGAAGCUUUGAUCCGUAGAUUUCCGAAUGGGGCAACCCAAUGUAUAGAGAUAUACAUUACCUAUAUAGGAGCGAACGAGGGGAAUUGAAACAUCUUAGUACCCUCAGGAAAAGAAAUCAAUAGAGAUUGCGUCAGUAGCGGCGAGCGAAAGCGCAAGAGGGCAAACCCAGUGCUUGCACUGGGGGUUGUAGGACUGCAAUGUGCAAGAGGUGAGUUUAGCAGAACAUUCUGGAAAGUAUAGCCAUAGAGGGUGAUAGUCCCGUAUGCGAAAAACAAACCUUAGCUAGCAGUAUCCUGAGUAGGGCGGGACACGAGAAAUCCUGUCUGAAGCUGGGUCGACCACGAUCCAACCCUAAAUACUAAUACCAGAUCGAUAGUGCACAAGUACCGUGAGGGAAAGGUGAAAAGAACUGAGGUGAUCAGAGUGAAAUAGAACCUGAAACCAUUUGCUUACAAUCAUUCAGAGCCCUAUGUAGCAAUACAGGGUGAUGGACUGCCUUUUGCAUAAUGAGCCUGCGAGUUGUGGUGUCUGGCAAGGUUAAGCAAACGCGAAGCCGUAGCGAAAGCGAGUCUGAAUAGGGCGCUUAGUCAGAUGCUGCAGACCCGAAACGAAGUGAUCUAUCCAUGAGCAAGUUGAAGCUAGUGUAAGAACUAGUGGAGGACUGAACCCAUAGGCGUUGAAAAGCCCCGGGAUGACUUGUGGAUAGGGGUGAAAGGCCAAUCAAACUUCGUGAUAGCUGGUUCUCUCCGAAAUAUAUUUAGGUAUAGCGUUGUGUCGUAAUAUAAGGGGGUAGAGCACUGAAUGGGCUAGGGCAUACACCAAUGUACCAAACCCUAUCAAACUCCGAAUACCUUAUAUGUAAUCACAGCAGUCAGGCGGCGAGUGAUAAAAUCCGUCGUCAAGAGGGAAACAACCCAGACUACCAGCUAAGGUCCCUAAAUCUUACUUAAGUGGAAAACGAUGUGAAGUUACUUAAACAACCAGGAGGUUGGCUUAGAAGCAGCCAUCCUUUAAAGAAAGCGUAAUAGCUCACUGGUCUAGUGAUUUUGCGCGGAAAAUAUAACGGGGCUAAAGUAAGUACCGAAGCUGUAGACUUGCGCACAACUUAGAUUAUUUAAGUUUAGAAUAUGAGAAACUAAGUUAUAUGUUUAGUUAUAUUUUUACUGAUUUUUAUAGAGUAAAGAUAGAAAUAAAACUUAGUAAAAUCAGUAAAAAUAUUCUUAGACUAAAGUUAAGUAGUUUAAGUUGUGUGCAAGUGGUAGGAGAGCGUUCUAUUUGCGUCGAAGGUAUACCGGUAAGGAGUGCUGGAGCGAAUAGAAGUGAGCAUGCAGGCAUGAGUAGCGAUAAUUAAUGUGAGAAUCAUUAACGCCGUAAACCCAAGGUUUCCUACGCGAUGCUCGUCAUCGUAGGGUUAGUCGGGUCCUAAGUCGAGUCCGAAAGGGGUAGACGAUGGCAAAUUGGUUAAUAUUCCAAUACCAACAUUAGUGUGCGAUGGAAGGACGCUUAGGGCUAAGGGGGCUAGCGGAUGGAAGUGCUAGUCUAAGGUCGUAGGAGGUUAUACAGGCAAAU